UACGUAGGGGGCGAGCGUUGUCCGGAAUUAUUGGGCGUAAAGGGUUCGUAGGCGGUAAUACAUGUCAGAUGUGAAAUCUUGUGGCUUAACCACAUCAAGCAUCUGAAACUGUAUAACUUGAGUGGAGGAGAGGUAAGUGGAAUUCCUAGUGUAGCGGUGAAAUGCGUAGAUAUUAGGAAGAAUACCAGUAGCGAAGGCGACUUACUGGCCUCUAACUGACGCUGAUGAACGAAAGCGUGGGUAGCAAACAGGAUUAGAUACCCUGGUA
This 268-nucleotide ribosomal RNA is filed under the name uncultured prokaryote. RNAcentral's name for it is "partial 16S ribosomal RNA". It matches the Rfam family "Bacterial small subunit ribosomal RNA", at positions 524 to 792 of the family's 1533-position model. The record is from RNAcentral.